GCUGGUGUUGCUCAGUGGCUAGAGUGUUGGCCAAUGCACCAAAGGAUCACAGGUUCGAUUCCUGGUCAAGGGCA
Non-coding RNA from Myotis lucifugus (little brown bat), 74 nucleotides. Lineage: Eukaryota; Metazoa; Chordata; Mammalia; Chiroptera; Vespertilionidae. The record is from Rfam.